GCCAAGCGUGGUGGCGUGCGCCUGUAAUCCCAGCUACUCGGGAGGCUGAGGCAGGAGAAUUGCUUGAACCCGGGAGAUGGAGGUUGCAGUGAGCUGAGAUCAUGCCAUUGCACUCCAGCCUGGGUGACAGAGCAAGACCCUGUCUCAA
Pongo abelii (Sumatran orangutan) is the source of this 148-nucleotide unclassified non-coding RNA. It matches the Rfam family "Metazoan signal recognition particle RNA". From Rfam's summary of the family: The signal recognition particle (SRP) is a universally conserved ribonucleoprotein. Lineage: Eukaryota; Metazoa; Chordata; Mammalia; Primates; Hominidae. The record is from Ensembl.